RNA transcript from Acanthopagrus latus (yellowfin seabream), 4574 nucleotides. It is a transcript of the gene named POU class 6 homeobox 2, with no coding region annotated. The record is from RefSeq and is a predicted model, not a curated record. The transcript is spliced from 12 exons. Lineage: Eukaryota; Metazoa; Chordata; Actinopteri; Spariformes; Sparidae.
GUCAGGAGUAAAUCACAUGACUGACACAAAGCCGUGAUGCACCAUGGGUACUGGAGUCUUCGCGGCAGAGACGACGUCAACCGUCGAAAUGAGGAGAAGUGACACUAAUUCAAGACAAAGAACAGACAUUCAUGGAUUAGGUUUCCAAAUGAGUCCCUCAGAUAUGAGUCAAGUCUCCUGGACCUUCUUCAUCUUGCUGACGGCUGCUUGCCAGAGUCCAGAUGAAUGCCAAAGCUCCCUCCAGGAUCCGAUGAUUACAGGGCAGCUGAGCAAGCCGCUGCUUUCCCUGCGCAGCGACAUGAGCGCAGCAGAACUCCGGGCGGACGACAAAGCAGCCACUUCAGACAGCGAUCUGAACGACGAGCCCCUGCUUCUGCCCUCCGAGGCCACGGACAGAGAGGGCACUCCCAACAAGCUGUAUGGAGCUCGUGACGGUUCAGUCCAGUCCGACGCCAGCAGCAGUCCCUCUGAGCAGAGCCAACUGGGCCAGUCCCACCCAGGAUAUCCAAUGGGUCCACAGUCUCUCCUGGUGGCCCAGCAGCUUGCCAACGCAGUCGGUGGCGUGAUGUCCGGGGCGGCGCCAGGCAUGAACCAGCCCAUCCUCAUCCCCUUCAACGCAGGCGGACAUCUGGGCGGGCAGCAGGGCCUCGUCCUCUCCCUGCCCACAGCCAACAUCCAGAGCCUGGUGGCUGCUGCUGCUGCAGGGGGCAUCAUGACGCUCCCCCUCCAGAACCUGCAAGCUACCUCAUCACUGAACUCCCAGCUCCAACACCUGCAGCAGCUCCAGCAGAUGCAGCAGCACCACCACCAGCAGCAGCAACAGCAGCAACAUCAGCAGCAACAGCAGCAACACCAUCACCAACAGACCCACUCCCACACCCAGAACCAGUUGUCAUCCCAGCAUCACAUGACCCCACCCAGCCAGCAGCAGACCUCCGUCCCGUCUCCUGGCUCUGCCUGCUCCUCCACCUCUGGACACCCACAGCAGUCCCCGCCGCACCGGCCCAACCAGUCGCCGGCUCGUAGCCUCCCUUCGCCCGUCACUCCGCCCAUGUCAUUGCCGCUGAAUCCGCUGGCCAGCCAGGUAGCAGCAGCAGCAGCCAUGGGAUCCAUCGCCAGUUCUCAAGUGUUUGGAAACACCCUGUCGAACCUGCAGGGAGCCACCGGACAGCUGGUCACCAACGCACAAGGACAGAUAAUUGGAACAAUCCCACUGAUGCCCAACUCUGCAGGGCCCUCCAGCCAAUCAGGGGGUGGCAACCCAGCACUGCAGGUACAGCCAAUUACACCUCAGCUUCUGACCAACGCUCAAGGCCAGAUCAUCGCCACGGUGAUCGGCAAUCAGAUCCUGCCUGUCAUCAACACCCAGGGAAUCACGCUGUCACCAAUCAAGCCUGGACAGCAGCAGCAGGGUCAGACAGGCCCAGCGUCGUCUCAGCCCAACCUGCUCCACAUGCCCCACAGACAGAGUCCUCUCCACCAGGCCUCUUCCUCCUCCUCCACCUCCUCCUCUUCCUCAGCUCUCAGCGUGGGGCAGCUGGUCAGCAACCCUCAGACCGCCCCCAGCGAGGUGGACGGGGUCAACUUGGAGGAGAUUCGUGAAUUUGCCAAAGCAUUCAAGAUCCGCCGGCUGUCCCUGGGCCUGACACAGACUCAGGUGGGCCAGGCGCUCAGCGCCGCCGAGGGGCCGGCGUACAGCCAGUCUGCCAUCUGCAGACACACCAUCCUGAGAAGCCACUUUUUCCUACCACAGGAAGCCCAAGAGAACACUAUAGGUAACAGUCUGACAGGCAAACUGAACCCUGGCCUUUUAUAUCCUGCCAGGUUUGAGAAGUUGGACAUCACCCCUAAAAGCGCCCAGAAGAUUAAGCCCGUUCUGGAGCGCUGGAUGGCCGAGGCUGAAGCCCGCCACCGAUCCGGCAUGCAGAACCUGACUGAGUUUAUCGGCAGCGAGCCUUCCAAAAAACGCAAGCGGAGGACCUCUUUCACCCCGCAGGCGCUCGAGAUCCUCAACAGCCACUUUGAGAAGAACACGCACCCCUCUGGACAGGAAAUGACGGAAAUAGCCGAGAAACUGAACUAUGACAGGGAGGUGGUGCGUGUCUGGUUCUGCAACAAGAGGCAAGCCUUGAAAAACACAAUAAAGCGUUUGAAACAGCCCGACCUCGGCCCGGCUGCACCAAUGGACCCUCUCACUGAUUCUCUAGAGGAGCUCCCGAAAUGAACGAGCCCCCUCCGACUAAAAGAGAGGAGUGGAAAAGUGGCAGCCAUUAAAAACAACAAAAGGUAUUUAUUAAGAAUCUCAUGAGAUCGCUUCAGAGGACGGACGCAGGGAGGGUCAAAACAAGGACUUUCACAUGAUGAUGAUGAUGAUGAUGAGGAGGAGGAGGAGGAGGAGGAGGGUGAUGAUGACGAGGGGUUUCAGUGUCUGUCAAGUCUACUGCAGCUUUGUUUUGAGCUACUGUGUCAUUCUGUUGCCAAAGCCUGAUAGCCAAAGAACACAUAAAUUUCAGCUCAAGGACUGGUGAUGAUUUUACCUUUUUAUUUAUUUGUUCCUGUGGCUUUCUCCCCCCUUUUUCUAAAGUGUUUCACUCUGUGGGUCAAGCUAUCAAAAAAAAACAAAAAAAGGAACACUAUCAUGUCAAACAGCUGCGACCGUGUCUGCUGUAAUCACGGCAAUAUAGAUGUUGGAUGAAUUUACUUUUGAGCAAAUUUGCCUCUGCAUGCUUCAACUCAAACCACAUGAAGACAGAUUAUUAAAAGAUAAGUUUCACAGAAAAUUAACACAUUAUUUUCCAUGAUUAACCCUCUAAUCAAGCCCUGAAAUUAAGCCAAUGUGUGUGGUCGAAGCCUGUUUUGUUGCCACUGACCAAAACUCCUAAACUCUUCCCCGUUCAGCUGUUUUUAUGAUUUCAAUAUUUCAACUCAAAUAUGAAGAAAGUCUUCAUAUUCUGCAGCUAAGUGAAGGUUUACAGACGCUACAAUCAGUGGAUGUGUUUUUUCCUCACCGUGAAUUGAUUUCUGCCACAGAAAAAAAUGCUUAAAAAGGUUCAUUUCAAGCCGAUUUUCUUAAAGAUUUUGUAUAUUCUUGUUAAUGUUUUGAAUUAAUUUCAGUCGACUGAUGUUAAGAUUCAUUUACUCUCCAUCACUGUUUACUGAAGUCAUCAUUUCACAUGACGCUGUCAGACGAGAACCUCCCAGACCGUCAUUUCCGAAUACUCGGCUCUCACAAAAAAAAAACCUCACAGGGAAAAAAAAAAAAAGAAAGAGGUGAAUGUUGAGAAUAAGUGUCACAUGUCAGAACGAGUGAACUUAAUUUGAAGUGAGGUGAAAUUUGAUGCAAUUUAUUCAGAAUCAUGUGUCUGCUCGAUAUCUGUCCUUCCAUGUCACAUUGGUUAUCUCUCAGUCCCCCGUGCACUGCUGUGUUCUUCUUCACUGCCUGUAAAACACACACACGCACACACACACUUGGUAAAUGUUAAAUAACACAUAAAGAAGCUUCACAUGUCUGUUUUUUAAUAGAAGAAAGUGAGUUUUGCAGGAGAGGCACACAGAGGCUUUUCAUAUAAUUUCAUUUUCAUUUAAUUUCCACGGCAAAAAGACUCAUUACCUUAUUUUUCUGUAUUUGCACCUUUUUACGUUAAUUCCAAUAUUACAUUCAGGCAAAUCAUUGGCCGAGAGACUACAUGUCUGUGUCCACCGGCCAGAUAAAGAUAUAAAGAGAAAGCAGCAGGCUCCUGCAGGUAGAAUAUGGAUCUGUUUUUUGAAGCUUAAGAAAUAAAAGCUGUAACCAAAAUCAAAAAAAAAAAAAAAAGAAGACACAGAAAAGGGCCUUCGCUCAACUCUUCAAUGCUGGACCAAAGCUCUAUAGUUAUGCACAUUGUACAGAGAAAUAGAUUCAUGAUGUUGACAAUCUUUUAAAAAUCCGAGAUAAAAGAAUUGAAGAGUAGAAAAUGUACAGUAGUUCAUCCAAGGUUUACCUCAGUACUGUUCUUGUGAGAAUCAUACAAAUGCCAUACAAGCAGCAGCAGGUCGGCAGAAAAAAAAAAAGACAGAUGAUUACUCUGCACUGUGCGUGUGUGUCGAUGUUCACCUUCGAAGUGGAGGGAGAGGCUUGUGUUUUAUUUAUUAUUAUGUGACACAUGAUUGUUUUAUUUUUCGUGAAGUGGUUUCCUCGAGCCACAUGUGACUCUCUGGUCAUCUGUUUUUUAUUACGAUUGCAUUAUUUCUCAUUCGUUUGUGGCGUUCACCUCUUAGUUUUUUUUUCCCCCCCACAGACCUGUAGACCCAGCGUAGAGGAGAAAAAGGAGAUUACGGCGAUGUUGCUCUUAACCCAAUUAGGAUGAUUUGUGAAUCACCUUUAAAUGCUUUUUUUUGUGGAAUUUUACUAACACAAACAAAACCGGUUUGACGUUUUUGUUAAUAGUCGAAGAACUCGAAACCAAAGCUGAAGAGCCUGCAGAGGUUGGUUUUCAUUUUUUUAUAGACUGAAAACUGUACUUAAUCUAUAGAGCAAUAUCUGUUUGGUCAGUUAAGCAGCACUUUGUGUAUUUCCAAAAAAAAAAAAAAAAAAG